CCUACGGGAGGCAGCAGUGAGGAAUAUUGGUCAAUGGACGAGAGUCUGAACCAGCCAAGUAGCGUGAAGGAUGACUGCCCUAUGGGUUGUAAACUUCUUUUAUAUGGGAAUAAAACGUUCCACGUGUGGGAUUUUGUAUGUACCAUAUGAAUAAGGAUCGGCUAACUCCGUGCCAGCAGCCGCGGUAAUACGGAGGAUCCGAGCGUUAUCCGGAUUUAUUGGGUUUAAAGGGAGCGUAGGUGGAGUGUUAAGUCAGUUGUGAAAGUUUGCGGCUCAACCGUAAAAGUGCAGUUGAAACUGGCAGUCUUGAGUACAGUAGAGGUGGGCGGAAUUCGUGGUGUAGCGGUGAAAUGCUUAGAUAUCACGAAGAACUCCGAUUGCGAAGGCAGUUCACUGGACUGCAACUGACACUGAGGCUCGAAAGUGUGGGUAUCAAACAGGAUUAGAUACCCCAGUAGUC
RNAcentral lists this ribosomal RNA (460 nucleotides) under uncultured bacterium. RNAcentral describes it as "partial 16S ribosomal RNA". It matches the Rfam family "Bacterial small subunit ribosomal RNA", at positions 338 to 795 of the family's 1533-position model. The record is from RNAcentral.